RNA transcript from Vespa velutina, 9031 nucleotides. RefSeq lists it as uncharacterized. NCBI's taxonomy places the organism in Eukaryota, Metazoa, Arthropoda, Insecta, Hymenoptera, Vespidae. The transcript is spliced from 5 exons. The record is from RefSeq and is a predicted model, not a curated record.
GGUGGUGGUGGUGAUGUCCAUCACAUUCUAGAGGCAGAGAGAAAGAAAGAGAGAGAGUCCCAUAUCGUGGCAUAGUCUGUGUCAGUCCGGUUGCCUACCUCGGGCGCUGCUGAGAGCCACCCUCGCUCGUGUGGCGGACUCGCGUCCUCCCCCCUCUCCCUUCUUUCUCGCACUCGUUCGCUCGCUCGCUCGCUCGCUCGCUCUCUCUCUCUUUCUCUGUUUCUCUAUGUCUCUCGCGCGCGCAGAGACCAAAGCCGCUCGUUUAUAUCUUCCAACGGUAGCGGUAGCAGCAGUAUAGCACCAGCAGCAGCACCACCAGUGAAAUCGUGCGCGUCUUCCUACGUUUCGAGUGUUUCAGUUCGAUCCUCUUCCUAUUCCUCUUUUUCUCAUUCUUUCUCUAUCUCAUUCUUUCUCUCUCUCUCUCUCUCUCUCUCUCUCUCUCUCUCUCUCUCUCUCUCUCUCUCUCUCUCUCUCUCUCUGCUACAAGAGUGCUUGCCAAAAGCAAAAUUCUCUUUUCGGUUUGUUCUUUCGUGUCUGCUCGGUAGUGUAGUCAACCAGGUGUAUCGUAGCAAUAAGUGUUUCAUACUCGACAUGCUAUACGGUUGUUCUUAUAAGUGCUCCGACACUACGAGGACGACAAGAACGACGAGGAGGACGAAGACGACGAUAACGAGGAGAAGGAGGAUAAGGACGGUAAGGAGGAUAAGCAGCAGGAGAAACGGAGAUUUCUCGUCGAAGAGGCUCGUCGUAGGAAGGAGCGUGGGAGCUGAGAGCGCGCUUCGUCGCUGCUGAGAAAGUCCUCCUCCUUCUCCUCCUCGUCGCUUACAAGAGAUAAAGAGGAAGACAGACAAACAGACAGAGAGAGAGAGAGAGAGAAAGAGGAAAACCAAAGAAGAAGAAGAAGAAGAAGAAGAAAAAGAAGAGUCGCGGUGGAGGCGGCGAAUGCGAGCGAAACGUCGCAAGCAGCCCGGCUUGAGCUGGCAUGAACGCCGAGGGAAACGACAACGGGUACGAGGACAACGUCAAUGUAAACGACAACAAAAGAAACAACAACAAAAGGAAGAACAAAAACAACAGUGGGAACAAGAAAAACAAGAUAAAGGAGAACGAGAAGAGCGGCUACCGUGAGGCUCGCGGCGAUGCUCAUAGACGUUACCUGACGAGCGCACUCGUGCGUACGAGCAAGUCGCGAUUUUCGUUAUCGACGCUCGAUCCCUCUUCUGUUCUGAGCGUCGCUGGUAUCACCGACGAUCAUCGUCAUCGACCUCACGGCGAACAACCCCACGCUCCUGCGCGCCGUUUUCGCGUCCUCUUACAUUCUUGUUAAGAUAUCGUCUUAUUUCGCUCGAUCAAGGAAUACUACGGCAGCAUCAACAGCUGUUUGAAGGGACAUUGGCUUCUCAUCCAAACAGAUUACGAUGAACAAGAAACCAUCGUAUUGGGGUAGAGGGUGUCUCGCGUGACACACGUCCUUCCUCGGUUCUUUUUCACCAGGAGACGGAGUGUCCGGGUCUCGUUCGGCCACGCUUCGUCUCCUCUCCUUCUUCUUCCUCCUCUUCUUUUUCUUCUUCUACAUCUACUUCUAUUUCUAUUUGUAUUUCUAUUUUUAGUUCUAUUUCUACUACUCUUCGAGCACUGUCGUUAUCUUAAUCUUUUCCUUUUCCUUUCCUACCUUUUCAUCGUCACCGUCAAUUUCAACUACCUUUCCUUUUUUCUCAUCUCUCUCUCUCUCUCUCUCUUGUUUUGCUCGUUACGUUUGAAGCUACCCUUACGACGAGGACACGCGUACCAGGGAGGCACGAUAGUAUGACGGUGAUGCUGCUGCAACGUUCGGUCACCCCGCAGUCGACGCAUCGCCAAAAGACAGCGAAGAAGGACUGCAGCGCGAAGCCGCCCUUUAUCUUCCUGCUGGACGAUCGUCAGGAGCAUAGGCGAUCUAUAGACGCCUCCAUCAUCACGACCACUAACAAUAAUAAUAACAACAACAAUAACAACAACAAUAACAACAUCAUCAAUAACUUUAACAACAAUUACGAGAACAAUUACACUCCCACGACCAAUAAUAAUAACAACAAUAACAAUAUCAACAACAACAACAACAACAAUAAUAACAACAACAAUUACGAGAGUGGGAACAAAAACAAUAUCGUGAAAAGAAGCGUCCGUAGGAGCAGCGGAAGCCGCGAGUACGCCGUCGAGGAGGCGCCGGCUUCGGUGACGUCUCAGAGACGCACCGCCGGUGGCCAGGACGUCGCGAUGCGAUAUUAUCGGAUCUGGAUCUACGCCUGUAACGGGGUGCUCUUCUUCAGCGCGGCUGCAUUUGCCGCGGUCGUAUCAAUGUCCAUUAUAUUCACCGGCGAUCCCAGAAGGCACGUAAUACCUGGAGUCCCAAGAGCCUUCGAUCCGACGGCCCUAUAUGCUUACCUCGCUUUGGGUACUCAAUUGGGACUCGUUCAAUUACUUGGUUGCGUUGCCGUAAGAAGACUCAGCGCCAAAUUACUCAACGUUUAUUGGGUUCUACUCUUGGUCCUACUCUUCGGAGACAUCGUUAUCGGUAUCGUUUGGGUCGUCCGUUCCGAGGGAAUGAACGCCCAACUCAGGCCCAUGCUGAGGCUACGAUUACAGACGGAGUACGGUAAGGAGCCACGAUUCAGCGAGCAUUGGGAUCGACUGCAGAAGGAAUUCACGUGUUGCGGUGUAACAGGGCCGCGUGAUUUCGGAUCCCGUUGGCCGCAGACAUGUUGCGGGCCCAUCAUGAAUGUCAGCGACACCUGCCAGCAACCAUACUCACGAGGAUGCGACGAAUCCUUGCUACGCUGGUUAAGAGAAACUUCCGAUCGCCUAUUUGUAUUUGGCUUUUGUGUCGUGGCCUUCACAAAACUCUGUUUCCUCGGUAUUCUACGAUACGAGAUACGUGAGAUGAUACAAAAGAUACGGAUGCUGCGCGAACCACCCCCACCGGCAACAACCUUUGCCCAGCCGCCAUUUUCCCAAGUGAUGUCGGAAGCCACUACCAAUAAUGGCAGCAUCGUUCGACGAACCACUCUGCCUAACGCCGUUACUCCUUCCGAUCAAAGAGAAGGACCAAGAAAUGUUUAAUAAAAGAUGGAAAGAGAGAGAGAGAGAGAGAGAGAGAGAGAGAGAGAGAGAGGGAAAGGGAAAGAGAUCAUCGUAAAAAUUUCAUAUCCUUAAAAUGAACCCGUUUGUGGGAGUAAAAAAUGUCGAGUGGUAGAAACGAAAGAGAAAUCAUUGUCUCUUAUGCGAUAGCUCGGAGUAAGAAUGAAAGAUGACCGUUGGAGAUAGUAUUAGACGGUAGAAAAGGUAAAACCAAUAAAAAGAAAAAGAGUUUUUAUACGGAUAAGCCGAAUGUAUAUAUAAGAGGGAAAGAGAGAGAGAGAGAGAGAGAAAGAGGUAUAAAAUAGUUCUGUGGAAAUGUUCCGACAGUUUUAAAGUCGACGUCAUUAAUUUUAACGAUCGUUUGUCGGUUGACGCGUGUCGACACACGUCCCUACCACUUCUGUUAUACCUAUUCGUAUAACCUCGUUUUUAAUUCAGCGGAAGGUAAUUUAAUAAACUCUUAAAUGAACAAUUUAAACGCGGAAGUUAUGGUAAGAAGUUAAGUGUCGGCGAACCAACGGUUCGAACGUUUGGUAGGUUCGAUGCCCCCGUCAAAACUAAAAUAAGACAUCUAAUCGAUAUCGCGAAAGAGCAACGAAAUUUCUAGCGAAACGUAAUAUUUCACAGAUGUAUACGGUUUCGAUUAAAAGUAACUCGUUCUUAAGUUUCUUUUUUUUAACUGCGCGAAACUUAUGAAAACUUCUGAAAAGAAACUAAUUUAGUUAACUUACUUAUUUCAACGACAGUUUCUAAUGUCGUUAAAGAAUAUGUUAAAGAAAUUAAAGUUAGGUAUAUUCACAUUAGCCAGUGGCAAACGUGUUCUAUAGUUAAAACGUGCAACCGUGAACCGUAUCGAUCCAAUCUGAUUUGGUAACCGUGCUCGAGGAGAGACCGACCCGUUGUAAAGAAAAAUAAAAGACCGCUCUUAUUUUUCUUCUUCGAUGAAGUAAAAGAGACUCCGUCGAAUAUUAAGAUUUAUUAUGACCGAUAAAAUCAGUCUGGUAGGAACUUCAAUUCAAUCUAAUCUGAUUCUUUUAGUAGUAGUAAACAUUUAUCGUUAGCCUUACAAAAGUUUUAUCAAUUAAAUAUUUUAAUUUUAAAUUAAAUGAGAUGUCGGAUAAGAAAAAUUUUUCAAAAGAAAUUUUUCCAUUUUUACUUAUACUUUUGUAUUAUAAAUUUUUCAUCGCAAAUAAAUCUCGUUCCGUAUAUAAAUAUGUCGAUAAAUUGUUUUCUUCGAGAAAUUAAACGAUAAAAAUAGCAAAUGUAUUUUUGUCUAGUUCUUUGAAAAUUGUUGUGUCUAUUCUGCAUCUAUCGAAGUCUAGUGUCCUUUGGGGACACUACGUAUCUAUCUGGCAAUGCUUAUUCAACGAGAACGUGACUCGAGUGGUACUACUUAGGUUCAAAUCGUUAUUUCGAUGGUACUGUAGAGACAUAUCAGGUCAAAUAGAUGUUAGGUCAAAGACUGCUUAAUAGAAUGUCGCAAAUGAAAUUAUAUAAUUCCUUUUCUUUUCUUUUUCUCUUCUUUUUUCUUUUUUUUAUAGGAAACGAUUCGGUGCAUCGAAUCGUUUCGUUCGAUAAAUUUUACUCUUAGAUAGUUGUUCGCGCCUAUUUAUCGUUUAAAAUAUCACAGAAAAUAAACGUACGUGAUAUUUCGGAUAUCCUAAAUUUUACUCGAACUGUUAAAUUACUGCAACGUCCGUUCUGUUGACGGUAGAUUGAUUCACCCGAUCAAGUUACAGGAACUUCUUUCCGAGGGCAAUAAAUCUGUCAAUCAAUGUCCAACUUCACUUUCAUACUUCCUAUACAUAUACAUAUAUAUAUAUAUAUAUAUAUCUAACUUUGAUUAAUAUAUGUAAACCACGAAAUAAAUCAAAUAAUAAAUUCGAUCAAUGAAUAAAACGAUAUCAAAUAUCAAAAUCUACUAGGUAGUGUAGAUACUAUUAAAAACUAAAAUAGGUACGAACGAGUAUAUGCCGUGUUAUAAAAUAAUAACAAUAAUAAUAAUAAUAAUAAUAAUAAAAAGGAAAAAAAAUUUUCUUAUCAAUUUUCGUCCUAAUAAAAAUCAUCGAUCCGUAUUUACUUAUAUUAUAUUUCACCAGAUAUUAUAGUAGGUAUAUAGAUUAUCGUCCUUACUUUAAAUGUUAGGAGAAUCAUUCGAAAGUUGUAAAUUUCAGGUGGGAGACGUUUAAGUCAGGUGGAGGCCUGCUUCAUUCUCACCGAUGAAAACAGGAACAUCGCGUGACGAGAAGUAACUGAAUUGAGUUAAACUAAUCUACCAGUAUGCCUACUAUUCUACUUACCGUACAUUAUUUCUUAUCGGAUCCAAGUGAAAUUUUCGUUACCGCGGACACUACAAUGGUAAAAGAGAAAUAAAUUGAUAUCACGAAAUUUUCUAUCGAAAAUAGUAACCUAAACGUAAUUUUAUCUUUAUGUGAUAGAACAAACGUCAUUCGAUCCACGAUUAUUUUCAUUCAAUUUACGAUCGACGAAUUUUUUUCUUUUUUAUUAUUAUUUUUUUUUCCCCUUUCUUUUUUUUCUUUUUUUUCUUUUCUUUUCUUCCUUUUCACGACUAAGACGAGCUUUAGAACCGUUGAGGAAGAAGCUUUAGAGAUCGAAGAAAUCGGUCGAACGAUAGAAGACGUAAGUGUCGUUGAUUACGAAGCCGAAUAUAUGCUUUGACAUGAAGAAGUUACGAAAAGAGGAGAAGACGUUUAAGUAAUCGUUCUAACGACGACGCAAAGCCCAUUUUUAACCAGCAACGAAUUUUUUGUCCCUUUCUUUCUUUCUUUCUUUUUUUUUUCUUCUUUUUUUCUUUUUUGUUGUUUUUUUUUGUUCUUCUUUUUUUCUCUUUUUCUUUUUCCUCCCCUAAUAUUUCGAUCGUUCACGAUGUCACACGAUGUCCACCGAUCGAUAUCUAUGAGACCAAUCAUUAGUACUUUAAUAGAAACGUUCGCGAACGUUCGCCUUUAUUUUAGACGCCUUUGAGAAUAUGGAAACUAAAAAGUAGAACGGUCGCGUGUUCACCGGUAGUUAACAUCAUCUAACUGCGUGCGUUCAACCGUUCCUUCGAAGAGUUCACGGGUGACGAGCCGAUGCACGGAGCAUUAAAAAGCUCCUCCCGUAGAUACUACCUACAUACCUAGAUAUAUAUGUAUAUAUGUAUAUGUAUAUAUAUAACAAGUACCUUUAUCUCUAAACGUGCACGUAGGUAGAAGUUUAUUUGCGAGAGGGCAUCGCCAUCACGAAUAUGUGAAAUUCAUAAAUCUUGAAGAAACGUGUUAGGAGGACGCGAAUACGCUCGACUAUUAACCGGUAACAGUGCUCGUGUCUAAAGGAAGUCGUAAAGAUGCAAAAUAACCGGCUGCCACGUUAGGGAACUCUUAAGUGCGACAAAUAAUUUCAACGUUGAAGAACUUUAACCAAACUUGUUCUUUUUCUUUCUUUAUUUCUUUCUUUAGAUCUGUCUGUUUCUCUUUUCUCUCCCUCUCUCUUUAUUUCUUUCUACUUACAUCGAACUUUCGUGACUUCGGUUAUAUCUGAAUAUUACUGCGAACUUUUUUUCUACUCUUUCACCUUCUCUCUUUCUCUCUCUCUCUCUCUCUCUCCCUUUCUUUUGCUCAAUCCUCGAAAGAGCUCAAAGGUGAAUACAAUGAGACUUGCUAUUUAAUAUAGUCUUAGAUACACCGUAAAAAAACUUUUUAGCUCGUUUAAGAAACAAGUCUUCGAAUUGCCAAAUGAUAGAGAGAGAGAGAGAGAGAGAGAGAGAGAGAGAGAGAGAGAGAAAGGGUAACAAAGACAAAAAGAGAAACAAAAAAGAAAAAAAGCAAAAGAACUUUUUGAAGUUUCGUCGUGUAAUUUGUACAGGAGAGAUAGCCAGAAAUGGAAGAGAACGUAUUUAUUAAAGUUUUCUACCUUCCCAUUUAACGGAGACAAAGGUUUUGCUGUGACAUUCGCGAUUUGAUAUUUAUGAUAGUCGAGAUAAUCCGUGGAAAAGUUGAAAUCGUUUGUUGUACCUUUCUAUGAAAUUUCGACGUGAAAAUGUGUUUUAAACGAACGGUCAGACAAAGGAAAGAGAAAGGGAAAGGGGUAUAUGUCUUCGGUUGAUAGCAGUCCGACAGAUGAAAAAGAAAUCUCUAACGAGAUACGCUUCUAAAUGAGCAAAAAAGUAUACAAAGUAAUCCUUCAAACGCAAAACGCUUUUAUCGGCCUAGAAAUGUCAGUAAAAUAACUAGCAAAUAGAGAUGAAAUUAUAAAUGAUUAGUUGUCGAGUUACAAUUUAAAGAAAUACGAUGAAAUCAGCGAUUCGUUGCUGUUCGUUAAAUAUCACUUCGAGAUAUCCAUUAAAACGACGUCCGAAUGUAUUUCAAUUAAUUCGUUCGAUCAAAAUUCUUAUCGUUCGCCAGUUGUUGUAAGCCUCGAAAAAGAAGAAGAAGAAAAAAAAAAAGAGAAAAAAGGUGGAAACCAAAGUGCGAAGGUCGAAGGUUCGGCCUUGACCCGUAAAAAAUCUGGUUUGCGUCUAUGGACACCGACGGUCUAAUCCACUUUUCCUUUUUUUGUCGUCUGUCGAUACAAAAAAAAAAGAAAAAAAAGAAAAAAGAGAGAGAGAGAGAGAGAAAAAAGAAAAAGAAAAUAAAUUUCCGAACUGAGAUGAUCCUUUAUCAUUCUAUUUCAAGAAAAAGAAACGAACCCUUCGGUCGAGUAAAUCGUACCAUUACGGAGCACUGUCUCGCCUGUUCGAAACGAGAAAGAAAGAAAAAAAAAAGAAAAAAAAAAAAAAAAGAAAAAAAAAGAAAAAAAAAUUCUUUGGAUAUGACAUAUCCGAAAGAAAUUGUCUUGAUAUAUGAGAAUAUGGAAAUGAGCACGUUUGGCAGGCCGAUUUUCAACGUUCCAAGAGCUCGUUCUUUCCCAAUAAAGAAAAAGCAUACCAUCACAUAGGAGGGGACUAAAAAAGAGGGAGCAAACAAAGUCUUGGAAUUUCUUUGAGCACGAUAGCUCUUCUCGUCUCGAUAGCAUUUUUGAUCCUUAUUCAGAAGGCACCAACUUGAAGAGGAUUUGCGAGUGAUGGUAAUGCCGCUGCUAUUGCUACUGGCAGUACUGAUAGUGGUGGUGGUGAUGGUAAUAGUGGUAUUAAUGGAUAGCUAAAAAGGAAGAUCGAAUGGAAUUGCAAAGUACUUUAUUCGUGACAAGUACAUCGUUGCUCGCAAUACUCUGUUCUCGAUUGAUUUUUCUCCAUCCCUUUCAUAAUUUAUUGUCAAACUUAUGAAAGGUUUUUUCUCAAAAAAAAAAAAAAAAAAAAAAAAAAAAAAAAAAAAUAAUAAUAAUAAUAAUAAUAAUAAUAAAAAGUCCCUAAAUGGACCACCACUAUUAAAGGAAAAAAAACGUAAAUCGCAAAAUCGAAAAGUCGUCAUAUCGCUCUUACGAUUACUUACGAUUACUUUUGUUCUGCUUUGAAUCAAUGAUCCAAACUUUUCCCCUUUUAUGUCUGACCAGUUUGCCAGGAUUAAGGAUAGAUACCCUUUGAUCAAGAGUCGUCAAUUUAGCGAUCCUCUCUCUAUGAUGGAUUAUUCUCCCCAAAAUAAACACGCUCUUCUUAUGUCAAAAGGAUACUAAAGCAAAGAUAAAGAGAGAAAGAUAAAGCAAAGAGAGAGAGAACAUUUUCAGGUGGAUAUCUUCAGGCAAUGAAAUUCCUAGGACCUUAUCGACCUGGCCAUGAUCCAAAACAGAUCGUAACAUCCAGUCGUGAAAGCUAACCGGAAGAUGUGACGCCUCUAUCACUGCGUACUCACAAUAUAUUUUUCGAAACGCAUCGUUGCUCUUGCAAACGGAAGAAUGCAAUACAGGCCGACAUCCUCUCUUAGCGAACAAUCUUCAAGAUGGUGGAGCUGAUAGCGACACGAACAGUCAUUGUGCUUUG